Molecule: non-coding RNA, 590 nt
Organism: Salvelinus sp. IW2-2015
Lineage: Eukaryota; Metazoa; Chordata; Actinopteri; Salmoniformes; Salmonidae
Source: RefSeq, a predicted model, not a curated record
CUAGUACCUCAUAGGUUCUUCUGCGGAUCUUCUGAUGACACGACAAACACUAGCGUUACCUGCAGCCCUUGGAUUCCUCUCUUCCAGAAUCCUCAUUAUUAAUUCCAUUCUGAUGAAUGACAGCACACCCAGACAUGCUUCAGCUCAGAUUGUAUAAAAAGAGAAAAAGGUGCUCUACUGAGGAUUUAGAAAUCCAAAAAGAAACAUCUUACCCCAGGACCCUUCACAAGAUCACUAUCCCAGAAAACUGGUUGGUUCAUGAGUUGGACAUCAUAAGAGGUCAAGGAUCACAGCAGGCAGGCCUACUUCUACCUACUACCUGCUCAACCCCACUUUAUCUCGGCAGAGGAGGAGACUUGGAUUACGAGGCAGAGGAUGGUGUGCACGGAGGGUAGAGUGGAGACAGGCGUCUCUUGAGUUGGAUGUGACCUGAUGCGACGUGCACUUGCGUCUGCCUCCAUGGAAGAUAAUUUUUUCCACAUCAAGAGCGGUCAAUGUUAACCUUAUUGUUUUGUUUUUCUUCUUUUGUCAGUGGGUUUUGAGAUUAUUUUUGUAAUGACAAGCACUAUAAAAAAAAAUCUAGAUCAUUA